This 253-nucleotide ribosomal RNA is filed under the name uncultured bacterium. Its description in RNAcentral is "partial 16S ribosomal RNA". It matches the Rfam family "Bacterial small subunit ribosomal RNA", at positions 524 to 776 of the family's 1533-position model. The record is from RNAcentral.
GACGAGGGAUCCUAGCGUUGUUCGGAAUCAUUGGGCGUAAAGAGUAUGUAGGCGGCUUUGUAAGUCAGUUGUGAAAUCCCCGGGCUUAACCCGGGAAGUGCAAUUGAUACUGCUUAGCUUGAGUAUGGGAGAGGGUAGUAGAAUUCCUGGUGUAGUGGUGAAAUACGUAGAUAUCAGGAGGAAUACCGGUGGCGAAGGCGGCUACCUGGCCCUAUACUGACGCUGAGAUACGAAAGCGUGGGGAUCAAACAGG